GUUUAGCGACUUGUUCUCUGAGCUUACUAGCUUGCUUCCUCAAAGCAUCCAUGGCUGCAAAUUGUAAUCUUUGCCGCUGGAUUACACAAUUUUUGGGAUUUGAUUUGCUUCUAUAUCUGAUCUGAACAAGGGCUACUGCUGCUGCUUCAAGAAAAGAAAGUUGCUUUUAGCUUUGAUUACUGAAAGCAGCUUAAUUUGUUUAGCAUUUCUUAAUAAUCAAUUUUUCU
RNAcentral lists this unclassified non-coding RNA (227 nucleotides) under Hevea brasiliensis (rubber tree). Lineage: Eukaryota; Viridiplantae; Streptophyta; Magnoliopsida; Malpighiales; Euphorbiaceae. The record is from RNAcentral.